Molecule: long non-coding RNA, 3128 nt
Filed under: Homo sapiens (human)
Lineage: Eukaryota; Metazoa; Chordata; Mammalia; Primates; Hominidae
Description: HSALNT0320544
Source: RNAcentral
GUUCCUUUGCUCCACUCUUACCAACCUUUGCUCUGAUUUGUGCCAUGAGGACUAGAAACCUGGAAACCUACGUUUCCCAGCUACUCCAUCUCCCCACACCGCAGGCUUUCUGUUAUGUUCUGAUGAUGCAGUUGAAAGUCAAAUGCCAGAAGAUUGCGGGUAGGAGGCAGGAAUAGCUUACAGCUCUCACUCAGAUGGAUGGAGCAGCACGUGGAGACUCAUGUUAUCAACUUUUGCUCCAAGAACUACUGCAGGAACAUAUCAGGAAAGCCAAGAGAAUCCACAGACCCUUUGAAGGAACUGUACCACCCCUGCAGACUCCCUGAGAUGCCAAAAACUGUGAAUCUGCUUGCUUUCUCAACUGGGAGGCUCAUGGUCUGGGAAGAAAAUCUUAGAAGCCCAUAUGGAUGUCAAAUUAGCAAGUGAAGACUUGGAAACACCACGUCUGAGCCCACUGAAUCAGAUAAGUAGAGAUGCAACUUUGAAGUACUGGGAUCUCAACUUAUCUCAUGUGUAGAAACACAAGAGUUCUAUGUAUAUCAUGAAUUAACACACACAAUCACAAGCUGAGAAAGGAAGAAAUAGCAUUGGAGCAUUGGUACACUAUCAAAAUCAAAACAAAAUAAAAAGGAAUAAAGUAAAAUGAGCACAUAUUGAAGUACAUAGUAUAUCUACAAAAUAUCUUGACAAAGCAUAAUCUGACCUUAAUACAUCUUUUUUAAUGGGUAGAUGAUUUUGCAUUAGAAUCUUACAUAAGAUGGAGGAAUUGCUUCAACAGGGCAGCACUUCUCUGAAGAGCCAUUGUGUUUGGCCCAUCUGCUAAAGAACUGUGGGGAAUAACGUCUGCCCUACUGGCCUCAGCAAUCCACUGCAUUAAUAGAACAUAAGCGCUUAUGCAAUGGCACUGGAUCUGUGGCAGCUGUUUGUUCAAUGUUUCAUGCUUUUAGUCACAUCUGCUCCAAAUGAGUGUUAAUAUUACAGUGGCAUCCACUAAGGAUGGGCUCUGUCAGCUUUGCUGAGGAUCAGUCUGACCCCUGAAACAAUGGAAAAGCACUUUGUCCCAAAGUACCAUCUUUUAAAAUAUCUGUAUCCUCUUAACCUGCAGGUUACACCAUCAUACCCUCUCUGCCUUCAGCUUUCUGCUCUUUAAUCCACACCCCCCACCCCAACAAAUGAAAACCCAAGUCAGUGAAUCUCAAGGAGAAAAACUGCAUUUAUUUCUAGCACCCUGUCCAGCAAUGUCAGAUAACAGUUUAUUCAUCCCCCGGCCCCUGGAUGACAUUGAAGCAUAUCAACAGUGACAAAAGUAUAUUGAAUAAUUAUCUUGAAAUUAAUACAUUAUCCCAAACUUAAAUAAAUGUCAUCUGAUCAAUAUAUCUUGGAAUGGAAAGGGAAGAGAAUGUGAAGGGCAUCACUUCAUUAUUCAUUAAUUUUAGAGUAAUGUAGGCAGAUGAAAUGGUUAUUUCAGAGCACUGCUAUUAUACUCACUGGCAUUUUAAAUAACUCCCAAUAUUUAACAGUAUAUAGUCUCUUGUUGGAACAGCUUAUAGAUGUUAACACUUUGGCUUCCAGAUUCUACUGUUCUGGGAAGUCAACUGACAAUAUUCAAAGGCCAUUACUUUUGUUUCUCUCUUUAAAAAAUGCCUUUCCAUUUUCGUUGGUAACUGGUAGCUAUAGCAUAUACUUGUCUUAAAUCCUCAUGAAAUAGCCUAUUAAUGUUGCAGUCUUGAGGAUUCUAAUUGUUCCAUUAAUCAUAUUCCCAAGGAUAAAAUAAAUAACUCAAUUAUAUUUCAUUUCUCUAGUGUGUAAAUGAGACAUACAGGAUCAUACCUCCCAGAACUUAUAUAAACCAGUAUGGGAAAUAUUUUAAAGGGAAUAGAGUGUAUAGUAACAGGAAAUUAGUAGUUAACUUCAGUAGCUAAAUUACGACCAAAGGUAAUGAUUAAUGCAAAUAUACUCUACUUUAUUUUGUAUUAUCCCAUUUAAUUGGAAAUCAGUAUAUUUCCAUAUAUGGCGAUUGUAAUAUAAGUAUAGCAUUUAUAACUUAUAGUCAUAUUUGAACAGUUUGCCCACUUCCAAAAAGAAAACACUGAUAAAAUUGUCAAAAACAUUUUCUUAAGUAUGUCAAGGCAAAGAUAAUGCUUGUUUAAAAUUAAAAUAUUGAGCUUUAUUGUUAGUUAACCCUAAAAUGAUUUCAUGAUAGAAUCCUUCAUUUGCGAUUAAUGAGAAAGAAAAUCGUAGCCACAGAAUCCACUGUAAUAAAAUUAGCUGGUAGAGAUGAAGAUGGACGUUCUAUCAAACCAGUGAGUGAUUGAUAGUUGGUAAAAUUCAUAGAAAGUAAACAAACAAACCAUUCAAAAGCAUUCAAGAUCAGAUUCUAAAGAAAAUAAGUUAGCUAGACACUUCUACUUAGCAAUGCUCCAGCUCUCAAGUAUAUGUGCAGUUUAAAUGGGAAAUGACUUUGCUAAUUAGGCAUCUUUGUAUUUUCUGCCCAUGAAGUCUUUGACUUAUGUCAGUUCUCAGGCAGAUGUAGCAAGGGAGGUACUCAGUUUCCAGCCAUCACCACAGAUCCAUGACACACCUUCUUGUUUUACAGGCUGGGACAUUUCCCAUGGAGAGUGGCCACCUGUGCUGGGACUCAGGGCAGUUUUAUGACCUCAAUACAGAGAAAGUAACACAAUUUUUACAACCUUAGUUGUUCUAUGACCUGAUGAAAGUGAAUUCAGUGCACCAGGCUGACAUUCUCUUACAGUAGCUAAUAACAUGAUUAUAAUAUACUCUGAAAUGCAAAAGAACAUUUUAUCCGAUAGCACAAAAAUAGUUGAUAAUAUGUGAGUAUUCCUGACACCUUAAAAUUUAAUUUUUUAGUGAUUUAGAAUAUAUUUAGUAUUUUUUCUUAUUAAUCUAGAAACCAUUAUGUUAUGAAAAUCUACACUCCUUUGCUUUCCAUUUGAAAUGAUAUUUCUUUUUCUUCCUGCCUAUUCAUAUAAAAUCAAACCACUUUUAAACUCAGAUUAUAGCAUUUCUCUAUCAGGCUUUUCCUCCUAACUUCAUGUGAGUUGCUCUUCCUCCUUUAAACUUCUAAUGUGAUAUUUCUCAAAGUAUUUUCUAUGGAUGGUCUGCAUCAG